AGUGAACGCUGGCGGUAGGCCUAACACAUGCAAGUCGAACGGCAGCACAGUAAGAGCUUGCUCUUACGGGUGGCGAGUGGCGGACGGGUGAGGAAUACAUCGGAAUCUACUUUUUCGUGGGGGAUAACGUAGGGAAACUUACGCUAAUACCGCAUACGACCUACGGGUGAAAGCAGGGGAUCUUCGGACCUUGCGCGAUUGAAUGAGCCGAUGUCGGUUUAGCUAGUUGGCGGGGUAAAGGCCCACCAAGGCGACGAUCCGUAGCUGGUCUGAGAGGAUGAUCGGCCACACGGAACCUGAGCCACGUUCCAGCCUCCUACGGGAGGCAGCAGUGGGGAAUAUUGGACAAUGGGCGCAAGCCUGAUCCAGCCAUCCCGCGUGGGUGAAGAAGGCCUUCGGGUUGUAAAGCCCUUUUGUUGGGAAAGAAAAGCAGCAGGUUAAUACCCCGCUGUUCUGACGGUACCCAAAGAAUAAGCACCGGCUAACUUCGU
RNAcentral lists this ribosomal RNA (491 nucleotides) under uncultured bacterium. RNAcentral describes it as "partial 16S ribosomal RNA". It matches the Rfam family "Bacterial small subunit ribosomal RNA", at positions 29 to 506 of the family's 1533-position model. The record is from RNAcentral.